CCACCCCGCCGGAGCCGCGGCUUCCGCGGCCCCUGGAGGCACAAAGUCACCCUCAGUACUUCAAGCCACCGGUCCAGAGCAGAGCCAACCCGGGCUUCAAAUUUCCACUGUUAAGUGCCGUGGCUAGAGAAGUAACACCGAGUUCUAGAGUUGGGAUUCAGGCACCGAGGCGCUCAGUUUACCGUACUGCACAGCAGGAACGCUCAUGGAAUCAGCUCCAUGUCACACAGCUGCUCCCACCGCAGAGGAACACCUUCCCCAGGAGAUGGUCUUUCCUCACAGCAGAGUGCUCCAUCCCUCUGAUCUUCAUGGCCUCCCCUGGACUCACUCCAGCAGCAUCACAUCCUUCCUGUGCUGGGGACCCUAGAGCUAGAUGCAACUCUGCAGUUGGUGUCUCAUGAGAGCAGAGAACAAGUUAAUCUUUCCCCCUUCUGUGUACCUGCCCUUGCCAUUCUAGACCAGCUCUCCUCUUCAGACAAAGGCUGGCUACCAGUUCCUUGUUCCAACACCCUCCAUCCUAGUCUGGGCCUGUUUGGUUUAAUUGUGUGUCACAGCAAGAGCACUGCUCUAACAUCCACCAAGUGCUAGUGCCAUUGGCCUAGCACAACAGGAACACUGAGAAGAGCAGCUUUAGGAAAUGCCAUACCCUGGACUUCUGAGCAGACAGCAGAUAUCUGCUCUUGUGACACUGCAAAAGCCAAGCAAACAUCUCCCAGAGGCUCUGCAAUGAGCAAUACUCAGGGAAAUAUAACAUUCCACAAGCUCCACUCCAGAAUAAUCCAGAACCAAGCUGGAGGAGAUCCUGCCCAGGAGGUGCACUACCAUGUCCAGGGACCAUCAGCACCACACAGGGACUGGAAAUUCCACUGAAGCCAAAACCCUCAUUUCAUCAGCACAGUCUGGCCUAAUUAGAGCUCUACAUGUCUAAAGGAGCACAGGGCAGGGAGAGAUGUGCUGAGCUUCUCUGCUCUUUAAGAAAAUAGGUUCCUGGGAACAAACAAAUUUAAUAAGCAGAAUCUCUGACAGAUCAAACCAAACCAGUUUUCCUGGGCAAACCAACAGCCUGUACAAACCUGCAACGUAGUCCAAGUGUCAUCAUCAAGGCUAGGAAAGAGGUGUACAUUUUCCAGCUGCUCCCAGAGAUAGUGAUGCACAUCAGUACCCUUGAGAAACAGGGUGACAAGUGACAAGGCACUGUGAUCUUAGGAUCCUGGUUAAAAUGAUGGAGUAUUCUGAAUACAUUGGGCUCUGGACAUUAACAGCAUAGUUCCCAGCUCAGACACCAUACUGGAUCAUGCUCUCAUGACAGGGCAGACUGCCUGUGUCACACUGUGCCCUGAGUGAAGCUCAGCAGAAGCACUCAGAUGGGGAAUUGCUGGCAACUUUUGCUACAACAGAACCAUUGGUUUUAAUCUAGAGAUGCCCUGGUAUGUCUCUGCCUUUCCUCCAGAAGCUGCCCCUCCAUACCCCUGUCCCUCUCUGUGAUCUCUUCUGCACUCCAGGGGAGCCAAAGAGCCCCAGCAGCUCCUAACUCCUCAGGCUGGAUACGUCAGUACAGGAAACCCUGCUGAGGGGCCUGCGGAGGGGGCAGGCAGGAAACCUGAGCCUCAGCUGUGGUCUGGAACCAAGUGGCCAAGGACAGAAGUCCUCCAGCUGCACACAGGUCCAGUGGGGACUGUCAACAGCCAGGUAAGAACAGCUGGUGAGCAUGUGGAGCCAAUAUGGAAGCUCUCCUGCAGUUGUGCAACUUCCUUCAGCACUACUUUUAUUAAUAAAAUUCUGUAAGUCCCUUACCCUAUCAUUAGCUGCUAUUAAAGCUGAGUAAAGCCUUACUCCAAAUCCUUGCCCAGACUACCCUAAGAACAAGGAUAAGCAAACCACAGCUGUUGGAAGUGCUGGAAAGGCAGAGCUGAGGUGCAGUUUCACACGCCUCACCUUGCUCCCAGGCAGUCACUGACUCACACUCAAGUAAUUUGGGCUGUACCUUCCUGUGCUUCAGCAUGCAAGUGACAGCAGUGUGGGACACAACCUGCUUCCAGGCAGGACAUGCAGCAGGUGGGAUUCUCAUGGUGUGGAGGUUGACAUGGGACCUGUCACCAGUGUAGCACUGACAGGCAGUGAGGGUGAGGCUUUGAAGUUCAUUAUCUUAAGGCAGGUGCCUAAAAUAGGUCAGGGUAACCUCACCCAACCCCCCCACCCCACCCCUUGCUGCUCUGCACUGACUGUACAGGGAGCCUGGGGUGACUCGCUCAGCCCCAGGCCUCAAAGCCUGAGAAAGUGAAACCCUGGCAACAACAGAGCAACUUGGGAAACACAAUUUUGCCACAAUGUAUGAAACCACAAAGCCUAUCUUUUUUUUUUCUGAGAAAAAACACUUAGUGAGAAUGAAAAUGCUGCUUCUCUGCCCCAGCCCCUUGGAUGCAGUGAAACAAGGUACCAUCACAACCAGUCCCCCAGGAUUUUCUGAACUCAGCUGUGCUUUCUGACAGGACAAGCAGAAGCAGCAUGAAGCCUCCCAACAACUCAGCAGACAGUGCCCUGUGCCAGCCCUGCACAGCCCUCUGUCCCUGUGUGCAACUGCACUAUGUGGCUACACCAAAUAAACCCCUGCCCCUCCCACCAUGCCGUGACACCCCUGGGCCUAGGCAAGGAGAGAAGCUGGUUCUGCAGAAAAUGUUUAAUUAGCAAAUCUUGUUCCUAGUCAGGUUUCCUGCCUCUGCUACAGCCAAAAUCCCCCUCGGUUACCCAGACAUGCUCCAGGACUCGCUUUCAGACACACCAGGGGUGACAUUACCAAGGCAGUGAGGACACUUCAUUAGCUUGGGAAAGGGCACAGGAUUCAGGGAUCCUUGUACCCAGGUACCUGCACCUGCAUUCCAAAUGGAUUUACACUCUCAAAUUCUCCUACCAAUCUACUAGCCAGGUUUCAAUCAAAGCCAUCUAAGCACCCAUGGAUCACUUAAAAUACACUAAAAAUUUACAGUCCAAGUCUGAACAGACAAGGAGUUGUCUAUUAAAACCCAGACUUAAACCUGAGUUUUAAACCGCUCUUUCACUGAUAGAGCUAUGGAAAAACUGCUCCUAAAAGGGGAUUUAAAGGUGCAGAAAUAGCUGCAGAUCACUUAAGUACAAUGGAGAAUGUGCAAGAGCUACAUGAAUUAAGGCAGAGAAGACAUUUCAGUCAAUGGUGAUGACAAAGGUGACAAUGUCAGCAAAGGUGGCAAGAACCCACAUGAAUCAUACCAAGGCCGACUGAUACUGAGUAUGGGAGAAGGCACACAGCUUAAAAGCAGCUGGGGAGCCAACAGGCACUUAAAGAGGAAAUGGUGGCAUUAAACAACCUGGAAAUUGAAAUAAUUUAGGAGCUUUACAGUCAAAAAAUUAGGCCUCCAAAUGCAGAGUUCUGAGGGAGUUUCACAAAGGAAUCUUGGAUACUGUCCUCAUGCCUGGAACCACACACAUCUGAAGAAGAUGAUGUAAAAAAUUCAAAGUCUCCAACAGACAUUAGAGUAUCUUUCACAAGGAAGUACAAGAUUACCAAGAAAAGCCUUUAGUGACCACAAAUACAACAGUAAGGAUUACUCUUGAUCUGCCAGCACCUACAAUUAGCAAAAAAAAAGGGUGUAUCAGCACAGGUGAAGUGCCUGUAUGAGUGUUUAAUACAACCAGUCCAAAGUAAACACAGUCUAAAGCAGUAUGGGGUCAAGCUGUCCCCCUCAGUGUCAUCAGGCAGAUCCAACACAUGCAGACACUUACCAGACAUUAAGUACUUGCAGGCAGUAACAGUAACGAAGCCAGUGCACAUAUGUUCUAAUAGGCAAAGCUGGAGCCAAAACACUCUGCUAGGAUCUGCAACAGCAGUGAACAAGCAAAGAAACAGGCAUAGAAUUUGAAAACACAGAGAGGAAGAUAAACACUAAACACAGCAAUAAGUAAAACAAGAAACAGGAGUACUCUGCAUGGAAAUGCCAGUAACUUGCUGGAAUGAUGAGGGAAGUUAGGGAAUAGGAACCCCCAUCUCUGGGUGCCAUAUGUUCACUGCAAGGCAUUAACAGCAGAUUGAAAAGCAUUUGUGGACAACGGCAGAAACUGUUCUAUAACAUACUGAGACGUGACUGGGACACUUCCAUGCAUGCAUGGGCUCUGCCUUCCACAUAAACACGCCACAGAAGUUGAGAAGAAAAAAGGCAGAAACCAUUCUGUUCCACUCAGCAGGGAACAGUGGAGUCUGUGGUUCCACAGCAGCUGUAGCUGAGCCCUGGUACCCCACAGUUCCCUGCUCCAGCACCCAGCUGGUCCUACACUGAGGUCAGUAAGAGCAAAAGAAAACAGCCCUUCUUGCAGGAAGGGAUUUGUUGGGGUUUUUUUCCCAAUUUAACACAAAGCUCAGUGCCAAGGGCAGUGUAAAAGUGAAAACUUGAUUGCAUGGGUGAGACAAGACAGAUAGUAAUAGCCAGCAGGUAAGAUACUAUAUAUAUGUAUAAAUAAAAGUAACUCAGCAUAGGGCAUUGCUCUGGCAACUUGUGCAGAAUUGCAGAGAAUCAACUCCAGAACUGCUAGAAGACAGCACCAGGCUCAUUGUGGGACAUCACAAGCUUUUGAGAACACUGCACACCAGCAGCAGCCACCCAAGGCAGGUUCCACAACAGAGUUUGGAAAUAACUGAAAAGCCACAAAGGUCCCCACUCUCAGCAGAGCAAGUGAAGUGCAGCUUUUGCAAGUGGUGGUGAGAACAUGAAAUACAAUUGACAGUUGCAGCCACAGAGCUCUAACAAAUGGAAAAGCAACACCAAGAUGCUGAAGGUCUUUGCACCCUACUUGUAGAACACUGCUUGGAAUCCCUCCCCAAUCUGAAGCUCUGCAACAAGUCCCUCACAGCAGCUGCCUCUGAAACAGGAACUGGAGCACUGACAAACCUCAGGGGUUCUUGUCCUGGAGAAAGGACAGAUGAAAAAUGCAGGGUAAAAAUCACAGAAACAUUGAGACUGGAAAAAAUUGGAGUCCAGCUAUUCUCCUAGCACUGCCAUGUUUAUCACUAAACCACGUCCCCAGGUGCCAAAUCCACAAUUUUUAACAUUUUCAGGAAUGGUGACUCCACCACUGCCCUGGGCAGCCUGUGCCAGUGCUUGACCACCCUUUUGGGAAGGCAUUUUCCCUAACAUUUAAUCUAAAUCUCCUCAAUACAACUGGAGGUCAUUUCCUCUUGUUC
This is a non-coding RNA of Cyanistes caeruleus (blue tit), 5209 nucleotides long. The record is from RefSeq and is a predicted model, not a curated record. Lineage: Eukaryota; Metazoa; Chordata; Aves; Passeriformes; Paridae.